AGAGUUUGAUCAUGGCUCAGGACUAACGCUGGCGGCGCGCCUAACACAUGCAAGUCGCACGAGAAACUUCGUAGCAAUACGGGGCUGUAAAGUGGCGAACGGGUGAGUAACACGUGGAUAACCUGCCUCGAAGUGGGGAAUAACCCCGGGAAACCGGAGCUAAUACCGCAUAAUCUGACGAGAUCUGUGGAUUUUGUCAGCAAAGGAGCAAUUCGCUUUGAGAGGGGUCCGCGGCUGAUUAGCUAGUUGGUGAGGUAAUGGCUCACCAAGGCCACGAUCAGUAGCCGGUCUGAGAGGACGGUCGGCCACACUGGAACUGAGACACGGUCCAGACUCCUACGGGAGGCAGCAGUGGGGAAUUUUUCGCAAUGGGGGCAACCCUGACGAAGCAACGCCGCGUGGGUGAUGAAGUAUUUCGGUACGUAAAACCCUUUCGACGGGGACGAAACCGCAAGGUUGACGGUACCCGUAGAAGAAGCCCCGGCUAACUCCGUGCCAGCAGCCGCGGUAAUACGGGGGGGGCAAGCGUUGUUCGGAAUUACUGGGCGUAAAGGGCGCGUAGGCGGUUUGCUAAGUUGGAUGUGAAAACUCUGGGCUUAACCCAGAGCCUGCAUCCAAAACUGGCAAACUUGAGUACUGGAGGGGAAAGCGGAAUUCCUGGUGUAGCGGUGAAAUGCGUAGAUAUCAGGAGGAACACCGGUGGCGAAGGCGGCUUUCUGGACAGUAACUGACGCUGAGGCGCGAAAGCUAGGGGAGCAAACAGGAUUAGAUACCCUAGUAGUCC
RNAcentral lists this ribosomal RNA (784 nucleotides) under uncultured bacterium. RNAcentral describes it as "bacterial SSU rRNA". It matches the Rfam family "Bacterial small subunit ribosomal RNA", at positions 8 to 796 of the family's 1533-position model. The record is from RNAcentral.